Molecule: non-coding RNA, 46 nt
Organism: Larimichthys crocea (large yellow croaker)
Lineage: Eukaryota; Metazoa; Chordata; Actinopteri; Sciaenidae
Source: Rfam
ACAAAGGUCCUUUUCAGGACCACCCACCGCUUCAACUAAGAGCGUG